Molecule: transfer RNA, 61 nt
Filed under: Cavia porcellus (domestic guinea pig)
Lineage: Eukaryota; Metazoa; Chordata; Mammalia; Rodentia; Caviidae
Rfam family: tRNA
About the family: Transfer RNA (tRNA) molecules are approximately 80 nucleotides in length. Their secondary structure includes four short double-helical elements and three loops (D, anti-codon, and T loops). Further hydrogen bonds mediate the characteristic L-shaped molecular structure. tRNAs have two regions of fundamental functional importance: the anti-codon, which is responsible for specific mRNA codon recognition, and the 3' end, to which the tRNAs corresponding amino acid is attached (by aminoacyl-tRNA synthetases). tRNAs cope with the degeneracy of the genetic code in two manners: having more than one tRNA (with a specific anti-codon) for a particular amino acid; and 'wobble' base-pairing, i.e. permitting non-standard base-pairing at the 3rd anti-codon position.
Source: Rfam by way of RNAcentral
UAAAGCUCAGCAGCAGAGCACUUGCCUAGCAUGUAAGAGGCCCUGGGUUUAAUCCCUAGUA